This 490-nucleotide ribosomal RNA is filed under the name uncultured bacterium. Its description in RNAcentral is "partial 16S ribosomal RNA". It matches the Rfam family "Bacterial small subunit ribosomal RNA", at positions 30 to 507 of the family's 1533-position model. The record is from RNAcentral.
AUUGAACGCUGGCGGCAGGCCUAACACAUGCAAGUCGAAUGGUAACAGGAAACAGCUUGCUGUUUCGCUGACGAGUGGCGGACGGGUGAGUAAUGUCUGGGAAACUGCCUGAUGGAGGGGGAUAACUACUGGAAACGGUAGCUAAUACCGCAUAACGUCGCAAGACCAAAGAGGGGGACCUUCGGGCCUCUUGCCAUCAGAUGUGCCCAGAUGGGAUUAGCUAGUAGGUGGGGUAACGGCUCACCUAGGCGACGAUCCCUAGCUGGUCUGAGAGGAUGACCAGCCACACUGGAACUGACACACGGUCCAGACUCCUACGGGAGGCAGCAGUGGGGAAUAUUGCACAAUGGGCGCAAGCCUGAUGCAGCCAUGCCGCGUGUAUGAAGAAGGCCUUCGGGUUGUAAAGUACUUUCAGCGGGGAGGAAGGGAGUAAAGUUAAUACCUUUGCUCAUUGACGUUACCCGCAGAAGAAGCACCGGCUAACUCCGUG